ACGGCUCAGUAACACGUGGCUAACCCACCCUUGAGACGGAGAAAACCCCGGGAAACUGGGGUUAAUCUCCGAUAAGAGAAGACACCUGGAAUGGGUCUCCUCUCAAAGGGCGCCUAGACCAUGCUUCUAGGCGUUGCUCAAGGACGGGGCCGCGGCCGAUCAGGUUGUUGGUGAGGCAACGGCUCACCAAGCCUAUAACCGGUACGGGCCGUGAGAGCGGGAGCCCGGAGAUGGGCACUGAGAUAAGGGCCCAGGCCCUACGGGGCGCAGCAGUUGCGAAAACUCCGCAAUGCACGAAAGUGUGACGGGGCUACCCCGAGUGCCGUCCGCUGAGGACGGCUUUUCCCCGGUGUAAGGAGCCGGGGGAAUAAGGAGAGGGCAAGUCUGGUGUCAGCCGCCGCGGUAAUACCAGCUCUCCGAGUGGUAGGGAUGAUUAUUGGGCUUAAAGCGUCCGUAGCCGGCCCGGCAAGUCUUCCGUUAAAUCCAACGAUUCAAUCGUUGGACUGCAGGAGAUACUGUUGGGCUAGGAGGCGGGAGAGGCCGACGGUAUUCUCGGGGUAGGGGUAAAAUCCUAUAAUCCCGGGAGGACCACCAGUGGCGAAGGCGGUCGGCUAGAACGCGCUCGACGGUGAGGGACGAAAGCUGGGGGAGCGAACCGGAUUAGAUACCCGGGUAGUCCCAGCUGUAAACGAUGCGGGCUAGGUGUUGGGGCGGCUACGGGCCGCUUCAGUGCCGCAGGGAAACCAUUAAGCCCGCCGCCUGGGGAGUACGGCCGCAAGGCUGAAACUUAAAGGGAAUUGGCGGGGGAG
RNAcentral lists this ribosomal RNA (809 nucleotides) under uncultured archaeon. RNAcentral describes it as "bacterial SSU rRNA". It matches the Rfam family "Archaeal small subunit ribosomal RNA", at positions 85 to 876 of the family's 1478-position model. The record is from RNAcentral.